CCUACGGGAGGCAGCAGUGAGGAAUAUUGGUCAAUGGACGAGAGUCUGAACCAGCCAAGUAGCGUGAAGGAUGACUGCCCUAUGGGUUGUAAACUUCUUUUAUAUGGGAAUAAAAUGUUCCAUGUCUGUGAUUUUGUCUGUACCAUAUGAAUAAGGAUCGGCUAACUCCGUGCCAGCAGCCGCGGUAAUACGGAGGUUUAGAGCGUUAUCCGGAUUUAUUGGGUUUAAAGGGAGCGUAGGUGGAUUGUUAAGUCAGUUGUGAAAGUUUGCGGCUCAACCGUAAAAUUGCAGUUGAAACUGGCAGUCUUGAGUACAGUAGAGGUGAGCGGAAUUCGUGGUGUAGCGGUGAAAUGCUUAGAUAUCAGGAAGAACACCGAUGGCGAAGGCAGCUCACUGGACUGCAACUGACAGUGAGGCUCGAAAGUGUGGGGAGCAAACAGGAUUAGAUACCCGAGUAGUC
This 460-nucleotide ribosomal RNA is filed under the name uncultured bacterium. Its description in RNAcentral is "partial 16S ribosomal RNA". It matches the Rfam family "Bacterial small subunit ribosomal RNA", at positions 338 to 795 of the family's 1533-position model. The record is from RNAcentral.